Molecule: ribosomal RNA, 291 nt
Filed under: uncultured Subdoligranulum sp.
Lineage: Bacteria; Bacillati; Bacillota; Clostridia; Eubacteriales; Oscillospiraceae
Description: partial 16S ribosomal RNA
Rfam family: Bacterial small subunit ribosomal RNA
Source: RNAcentral
ACAUGCAAGUCGAACGGAGCUUAGAGAGCUUGCUUUUUAAGCUUAGUGGCGAACGGGUGAGUAACGCGUGAGUAACCUGCCCUAGAGUGGGGGACAACAGUUGGAAACGACUGCUAAUACCGCAUAAGCCCACGGUACCGCAUGAUACUGAGGGAAAAGGAUUUAUUCGCUUUAGGAUGGACUCGCGUCCAAUUAGCUAGUUGGUGAGGUAACGGCCCACCAAACCGACGACCAGUAGCCGGCCUGAGAGGGCGACCGGCCACAUUGGGACUGAGACACGGCCCAAACUCC